This 561-nucleotide ribosomal RNA is filed under the name uncultured bacterium. Its description in RNAcentral is "bacterial SSU rRNA". It matches the Rfam family "Bacterial small subunit ribosomal RNA", at positions 338 to 916 of the family's 1533-position model. The record is from RNAcentral.
CCUACGGGAGGCAGCAGUGGGGAAUCUUGCGCAAUGGACGAAAGUCUGACGCAGCCAUGCCGCGUGAAUGAUGAAGGUCUUAGGAUUGUAAAGUUCUUUAGCCUGUGACGAUGAUGACGGUAACAGGAGAAUAAGCCCCGGCUAACUUCGUGCCAGCAGCCGCGGUAAUACGAAGGGGGCUAGCGUUGUUCGGAAUUACUGGGCGUAAAGCGCGCGUAGGCGGUUAUGCAAGCCAGAGGUGAAAUGCCUGAGCUCAACUUAGGAAUUGCCUUUGGAACUGCAUGGCUUUGAGGACGAGAGAGGUGAGUGGAAUUCCCAGUGUAGAGGUGAAAUUCGUAGAUAUUGGGAAGAACACCGGUGGCGAAGGCGGCUCACUGGCUCGUUUCUGACGCUGUAGCGCGAAAGCGUGGGGAUCAAACAGGAUUAGAUACCCUGGUAGUCCACGCUGUAAACGAUGAGUGCUAGGCGUUGGCACGCUUGCGUGUCAGUGCCGCAGCUAACGCGUGAAGCACUCCGCCUGGGGAGUACGGUCGCAAGAUUAAAACUCAAAGGAAUUGACGG